CUGGUCCUGAAUCAAGGCCAGCAGCUUCCUGACGCUGUUGGGUUUCAAGCAGGAGCCUAAAGAGAUGUCUUUCUAUGGUCUCUUGGCCACUUCAGAACUUGGGCAGUGAAAUGGUCAAUUCAUUAGAAAGAAACAGCU
Molecule: small nucleolar RNA, 138 nt
Organism: Cavia aperea (Brazilian guinea pig)
Lineage: Eukaryota; Metazoa; Chordata; Mammalia; Rodentia; Caviidae
Source: Ensembl